RNAcentral lists this long non-coding RNA (611 nucleotides) under Equus asinus (donkey). Its description in RNAcentral is "lncRNA (ENSEASG00005037909.1)". The record is from RNAcentral. Lineage: Eukaryota; Metazoa; Chordata; Mammalia; Perissodactyla; Equidae.
CGCUUCCGCGUUGGUUGCAGAUACUAUGCAGGAAAUGCCACUGGACGGUGUGAGAGGUGCAACAGGAGCUGCAAAGCCUGCUGGGGCCCGCGGCCCACAGACUGCCUGUCUUAGGAUCCAUUUUUCUUUCUGCUCUGCUCCAAGGGAGAGUGUCAUCGCCCCUGCCUGCAGCACUACUACGCAGAGCAAAGCACGCAGACCUGUCAGAGGUGCCAUCCAACUUGCAAUAAAUGCAAAGAAUCAUUCAUCUUGGGGCAGUAGGUUGACUACAUAAAAAUGUCAGCGAGUGAGGAUGACAAGAUGAGAAAUCAGCUCCUUCCUCCUUCUGGGAGAAGACCAUCAACCACCCUUGCUGUCUAGCCACUGAGCUGACCUUCCUGAGCACUAUCUUGAUAAUAUUUUAAAAUAACUUCUUCCCAAGUGCUCCCCAAGUAGGUAUGAACAUAGCCAUCUCCAGAUUCAAGGUGGCUUCUGGGAUCACCUGUGUCUUGAUGCCCCCAAAUCUACUUCUCUUUCCCAAAGUUUUCCUGAGCUUCCUGUACAUCCAACUUCCUGUUAAUAUCUCUAAUUGGAUGUUCAGCAGACGACUGAGACUUGAAAUGUAAAUGCAU